This is a long non-coding RNA of Oncorhynchus kisutch (coho salmon), 558 nucleotides long. RefSeq lists it as uncharacterized. The record is from RefSeq and is a predicted model, not a curated record. The transcript is spliced from 2 exons. NCBI's taxonomy places the organism in Eukaryota, Metazoa, Chordata, Actinopteri, Salmoniformes, Salmonidae.
GGGGUUGGGGUUAUGGUUGAGAGUUAGGGGUAGGGGGGUUAGGGGUUGGGCUUAGGCUUAGUCUGUUCUCUAUCGUAUGUUAUAGGGUAACUAGUAGGUAGGCUGACGGUUAGGGGUUAGGCUUAGUCUGUUCUCUAUCGUAUGUUAUAGGGUAACUAGUAGGUAGGCUGACGGUUAGGGGUUAGGCUUAGUCUGUUCUCUAUCGUAUGUUAUAGGGUAACUAGUAGGUAGGCUGACGGUUAGGGGUUAGGCUUAGUCUGUUCUCUAUCGUAUGUUAUAGGGUAACUAGUAGGUAGGCAAAACAUGUAUUGUACCUCUAGUUAACUGUUUUGUUAUUAUAGCAUAUUUUCAUGUUUUCGUCACGUCCCUAAAAAAUCCACUGACUCGUGAAUAAGGCCAUAAAAAGAUGAUUUCUUUUUUGAACGAUUAAUUUGAUUAAUUUCAACAAUUAUUUUUGACCCAAUGAAUGAUUUACUUUACCAUUGUAUUAGUUUGUAUUUGGUUCAAUCACGGUGAAUCGAAUCAUGUGAAUCAAAAUAAAAAAAGUUAUAUCCUUCC